Lolium rigidum is the source of this 558-nucleotide long non-coding RNA. RefSeq lists it as uncharacterized. Lineage: Eukaryota; Viridiplantae; Streptophyta; Magnoliopsida; Poales; Poaceae. The transcript has 4 exons. The record is from RefSeq and is a predicted model, not a curated record.
CCCACCUGUAGCUGGGCGCGGAUGACGUGCUUCCACCGACCACCGCUGGCUGCCCUCAUGAUGGCACGACUGGUGCAGCUGUCGAGCCUGCUGCGCCUUAUCUAGUGAAAAAACGAACUUGUGCUGUUACUGUGGCCCUACAUUUUGUGCUGACUGCUCAAGAUUGCCAGGUAGCAGCCUAUUUGCUGUGUAAUGUAAUGCUCUGCAGCCUACUCACAAGAGAUCCCUGAACCAUAUCUGAAUGGAGUUGGCUGAACUCGUGCACAAGGUCCAUUUGCUUUGCCGGCUAGAAGGGUUGGGGUAGUUGACAUGGCUUGCAAUUGUCCUCUAAUUCAGGCUUCAGUUCUCUCUGUUUUACCACACGACUUAUUAGUAUGGGAUGGUAUAGACAUUCAGAAACUGGGAUGCUAAUAACCUGUGUAGUCUUGUUGGCUGUGUAAGCCCCCUUUGGGCCUUAUAUGUGUUUAACUAUUGUUCCCAUAUAUUCUUUACCUUCCUUAAAAAACAAAUAUAUUGUGCAUGUAACUCAAUUGUACUUUCUGUGUAAUUGCGCGAUCU